GUUCCUACGGGGGGCAGCAGUGGGGAAUAUUGGGCAAUGGGCGCAAGCCUGACCCAGCAACGCCGCGUGAAGGAAGAAGACCCUCGGGUUGUAAACUUCUUUUAUCAAGGACGAAACAAAUGACGGUACCUCUUGAAUAAGCCACGGCUAACUACGUGCCAGCAGCCGCGGUAAUACGUAGGUGGCAAGCGUUGUCCGGAUUUACUGGGUGUAAAGGGCGUGCAGCCGGGCUGACAAGUCAGAUGUGAAAUCCCGCGGCUCAACCGCGGAACCGCAUUUGAAACUGUCAGUCU
Molecule: ribosomal RNA, 293 nt
Filed under: uncultured bacterium
Lineage: Bacteria
Description: partial 16S ribosomal RNA
Rfam family: Bacterial small subunit ribosomal RNA
Source: RNAcentral